AUUAGAUUAAAAACCAAUGCCCUUCGGGGCUCUCUGGUGAUUCAUGAUAACUUCUCGAAUCGCAUGGCCUUGCGCCGGCGAUGGUUCAUUCAAAUUUCUUCCCUAUCAACUUUCGAUGUUUGGGUAUUGGCCAAACAUGGUUGCAACGGGUAACGGAGGGUUAGGGCUCGACCCCGGAGAAGGAGCCUGAGAAACGGCUACUACAUCCAAGGAAGGCAGCAGGCGCGCAAAUUACCCAAUCCCGACUCGGGGAGGUAGUGACAAUAAAUACUGAUACAGGGUUCUUUCGGAUCUUGUAAUUGGAAUGAGUACAAUUUAAAUCCCUUAACGAGGAACAAUUGGAGGGCAAGUCUGGUGCCAGCAGCCGCGGUAAUUCCAGCUCCAAUAGCGUAUAUUAAAGUUGUUGUGGUUAAAAAGCUCGUAGUUGAACCUUGGGCCUGGCUGGCCGGUCCGCCUCACCGCGUGUACUGGUCCGGCCGGGCUUUCCCUCUGUGGAACCCUAUGCCCUUCACUGGG
This 516-nucleotide ribosomal RNA is filed under the name uncultured fungus. RNAcentral describes it as "SSU rRNA". It matches the Rfam family "Eukaryotic small subunit ribosomal RNA", at positions 209 to 725 of the family's 1831-position model. Lineage: Eukaryota; Fungi. The record is from RNAcentral.